GUGCUCAUUUCAGCAGCAUAUAUACUAAAAUUGGAAUGAUACAGAGAUUAGCGUGGCCCCUGCCCAAAGAUGACACGCAAAUUGGUGAAGCAUUCCAUUUUUUU
Small nuclear RNA from Nyctereutes procyonoides (raccoon dog), 104 nucleotides. NCBI's taxonomy places the organism in Eukaryota, Metazoa, Chordata, Mammalia, Carnivora, Canidae. The record is from RefSeq and is a predicted model, not a curated record.